GAUUAACGCUAGCUGUGCGCCUAACACAUGCAAGUCGAGCGGGGUGAUGGUGCUUGCACUAUCACUUAGCGGCGGACGGGUGAGUAAUGCUUAGGAAUCUGCCUAUUAGUGGGGGACAACAUCUCGAAAGAGAUGCUAAUACCGCAUACGUCCUACGGGAGAAAGCAGGGGAUCACUUGUGACCUUGCGCUAAUAGAUGAGCCUAAGUCGGAUUAGCUAGUUGGUGGGGUAAAGGCCUACCAAGGUGACGAUCUGUAGCGGGUCUGAGAGGAUGAUCCGCCACACUGGGACUGAGACACGGCCCAGAAUCCUACGGGAGGCAGCAGUGGGGAAUAUUGGACAAUGGGGGGAACCCUGAUCCAGCCAUGCCGCGUGUGUGAAGAAGGCCUUAUGGUUGUAAAGCACCUUAAGCGAGGAGGAGGCUCUUUUGGUUAAUACCCAAGAUGAGUGGACGUUACUCGCAGAAUAAGCACCGGCUAACUCUGUGCCAGCAGCCGCCGCGG
This 503-nucleotide ribosomal RNA is filed under the name uncultured bacterium. Its description in RNAcentral is "partial 16S ribosomal RNA". It matches the Rfam family "Bacterial small subunit ribosomal RNA", at positions 28 to 523 of the family's 1533-position model. The record is from RNAcentral.